AGACUGCUGAGGAGUCCCACAAUAGGACGAAACGGCCGUCCAGUAC
Molecule: non-coding RNA, 46 nt
Filed under: Schistosoma margrebowiei
Lineage: Eukaryota; Metazoa; Platyhelminthes; Trematoda; Strigeidida; Schistosomatidae
Source: RNAcentral